GUAGCGCUCAAUUCUCUAUUUGUUGCAGCUGAUGAAUGUGGGUUAAGUACUAAAUAGCAAGUCAUGCAGAGUGCUAUCAGUACCCUAGAUUGGCUAGCUUGCUUUAAUUUAAAUACCUUCUUUUUGUACAAUAUUUGAUUAGGGGUUUAAUGCUUGUCAUAUGGUAGAUGAAACCAAAGACUGAGAAAAGCCGUUUUAGUUCAUGAUUCUUUUAAACUAAAGUUGCUUUGAUAGUAAGCUAUCUGUAAGCUCUAUUCUCACCUCAUGCUCUACUAAAAUUUGCCUCUCUUGCAACAAAAAGCAUGGGAAUUUGGAAACCAUUCAGAAUUCCACACAAGUGACUAUGCAGCUUGAAAAGAUCCUUCAGAAGAUGGAUUUGAGGACAAUCAGGAAAGGCAAAAAUCAUGGCUAACCACAUGGCUUUUUCAGUGAAGAGGUGUUUCAAAUCAAAUGGUGAAUUUUUGCUGAAUUUCUGCUAUUCAACUGCUGUUUUCCAGCUGUGCAAACAAGAAAAAAAUUAACAUGAGCUAAGCUGCCUGGAAGUCAAAGCAGAAGUGUGGACUUAACGCAGUUCCUAUGCUGGGACUGCUGCCACCUCCUGAAAUUCCUCAGAGGGACAACAGGUACUGUUCUCGUGAAGUUGUUGAAAGACAAAACGUUCAGGCCUGAAACAUUUUUUCCAAAUACUCGUCUAGAAACCCUCUUUCCUAGAAUGAUUUUGAUGAAAAAGAGGUAAUUCACUGUGAGCGAGUGGAGGGCAGGGGAAGUGAUCAUCCUUAUAUGGAAUUUAGUGCAAAAGCUAGAAGAAGGAAAGUUGGUGCCACUAGCAAAACUGUAGCUUUACCAUAUAAAAUGUCUCACUAGCAUAUCAAUGAGAGCAGAUGCAUUCACCAUAUUCUGCUUCACACUAUCUUAAUGAUAUAUGGGUCUAAAAACUACCAUACUGAUAAGCUGCGAGCAGCAGUUUUUAGGAAGGGUGCAUUUAUUUCCUCUCUCAAUAUAGAAAUUAUAAUAUGAAAACCACUUUUAAAACUGGGGGAGAACUACAGCGUAAAUUUGAAAACAAAUGACAGUUUGAUCUGUGGCGCAGUAGUUUUAAAUUUUGGUGGUAACUGUUCUUAGAAU
Molecule: long non-coding RNA, 1125 nt
Filed under: Dromaius novaehollandiae (emu)
Lineage: Eukaryota; Metazoa; Chordata; Aves; Casuariiformes; Dromaiidae
Description: lncRNA (ENSDNVG00000018788.1)
Source: RNAcentral